RNAcentral lists this ribosomal RNA (292 nucleotides) under uncultured prokaryote. RNAcentral describes it as "partial 16S ribosomal RNA". It matches the Rfam family "Bacterial small subunit ribosomal RNA", at positions 505 to 796 of the family's 1533-position model. The record is from RNAcentral.
GUGCCAGCAGCCGCGGUAAUACCUAGGUGGCAAGCGUUAUCCGGAAUUAUUGGGCGUAAAGCGCGCGCAGGUGGUUUCUUAAGUCUGAUGUGAAAGCACACGGCUCAACCGUGGAGGGUCAUUGGAAACUGGGAGACUUGAGUGCAGAAGAGGAAAGUGGAAUUCCAUGUGUAGCGGUGAAAUCCGUAGAGAUAUGGAGGAACACCAGUGGCGAAGGCGACUUUCUGGUCUGUAACUGACACUGAGGAGCGAAAGCGUGGGGAGAUAACAGCGGUAGAUACCCCCGUAGUCC